AUAUGUAUAGUGUCAACGCUUACAUGUCAGUAGGUAAAGUAGAUAACGAUAACGAGCACGAGAAAUAUGUUAAGAGGACGAGAUAAGAUGAUGGAGAUGAUUUUAUUGAUAUUAAAACAGCGGACCACCAUUUAGCUGGAGAGUAAUCGAAAACGGUGCAAUGUCCCCGACGCGAGUGCAGUGAACUUUUUCGCAGUCACGUAAAAAAAUACAGAAUGCGGUGAUAUAAUGGGCCCAAGGGUAUAAGACCAGAACCUACUGAGUUGCAUUAAACGGUGAUCGCAACGAAGGAAACAAUAAGUGCUCGAGGGUUCUGCUAAACUACUCUAUGAGAUGCCAAGAACAAAGUGAGAUAAGCAACGGUGAACAGGUUUGACUGGUGCAAUAGCUAAACAAGGCAAAGUCAAAAAAGUAUUGGCGACCGUAAACUUUAUGCUCGGGUGACAUCACCGCCAUAUUAGGCAGCGGCGAUACUGUACAAUUGAAUAUAAAAAUAGCACGAUGAAUGUUUGCGUGCCACUAUCGACACACUUAAUACGUAAAUUCUUUUGUUUAUAAUUUAAGAUAAACAAACCGUUUGUUAUUGUUUUUUUUUUUUGUGAAAUUUCGCUAUUAUUAAAUCAGAAAAAAAAGUAUAUAAGUCUGAAAAAUAUUUUUAGCGAUUAUAAAUUGUUAUGUAACAAAGUGUCGGCAUGGACUUAAAUUUAAGUAAACAAGUGUACGAGAAUAAACAUUUAGCACAAUUUACAUACUACACGCAUACAUUAUGACAGUAAUGUAUGUUCGCAUAAUACCUACUGUUAAUCACUACAUCGUACAAGCAGAUGACAUUAAAAAUUUGCUCAAACAUU
Melitaea cinxia (Glanville fritillary) is the source of this 851-nucleotide long non-coding RNA. RefSeq lists it as uncharacterized. The record is from RefSeq and is a predicted model, not a curated record. The transcript is spliced from 2 exons. Lineage: Eukaryota; Metazoa; Arthropoda; Insecta; Lepidoptera; Nymphalidae.